This 375-nucleotide ribosomal RNA is filed under the name uncultured eukaryote. RNAcentral's name for it is "partial 18S ribosomal RNA". It matches the Rfam family "Eukaryotic small subunit ribosomal RNA", at positions 592 to 976 of the family's 1831-position model. The record is from RNAcentral.
CAAUAGCGUAUAUUUAAGUUGUUGCAGUUAAAAAGCUCGUAGUUGGAUUUCGGUUAAGAGCGACCGGUCCGCCGUUUGGUGUGCACUGGUUGGUUUUAACUUCCUGUAGAGGACGUGCUCUGGGUUUAACGACCUGGACUCGGAGUCUACGUGGUUACUUUGAAAAAAUUAGAGUGUUCAAAGCGGGCUUACGCUUGAAUAUUUCAGCAUGGAAUAACACUAUAGGACUCCUGUCCUAUUUCGUUGGUCUCGGGACGGGAGUAAUGAUUAAGAGGAACAGUUGGGGGCAUUCGUAUUUCAUUGCCAGAGGUGAAAUUCUUGGAUUUAUGAAAGACGAACUUCUGCGAAAGCAUUUGCCAAGGAUGUUUNCAUUAA